Molecule: transfer RNA, 78 nt
Filed under: Alphaproteobacteria bacterium GM7ARS4
Lineage: Bacteria; Pseudomonadati; Pseudomonadota; Alphaproteobacteria
Description: tRNA-Pro
Rfam family: tRNA
About the family: Transfer RNA (tRNA) molecules are approximately 80 nucleotides in length. Their secondary structure includes four short double-helical elements and three loops (D, anti-codon, and T loops).
Source: RNAcentral
CGGGGCGUAGCGCAGCCUGGUGAGCGCGUCCGUCUGGGGGACGGGAGGUCGGAGGUUCAAAUCCUCUCGCCCCGACCA